UGGGGAAUAUUGGACAAUGGGCGAAAGCCUGAUCCAGCCAUGCCGCGUGUGUGAAGAAGGUCUUCGGAUUGUAAAGCACUUUAAGUUGGGAGGAAGGGCAGUAAGUUAAUACCUUGCUGUUUUGACGUUACCGACAGAAUAAGCACCGGCUAACUCUGUGCCAGCAGCCGCGGUAAUACAGAGGGUGCAAGCGUUAAUCGGAAUUACUGGGCGUAAAGCGCGCGUAGGUGGUUAGUUAAGUUGGAUGUGAAAUCCCCGGGCUCAACCUGGGAACUGCAUUCAAAACUGACUGACUAGAGUAUGGUAGAGGGUGGUGGAAUUUCCUGUGUAGCGGUGAAAUGCGUAGAUAUAGGAAGGAACACCAGUGGCGAAGGCGACCACCUGGACUGAUACUGACACUGAGGUGCGAAAGCGUGGGGAGCAAACAGGAUUAGAUACCCUUGUAGUCCCUGAGCGGGCUGGCAAGGCGCAU
This 472-nucleotide ribosomal RNA is filed under the name uncultured bacterium. RNAcentral's name for it is "bacterial SSU rRNA". It matches the Rfam family "Bacterial small subunit ribosomal RNA", at positions 355 to 825 of the family's 1533-position model. The record is from RNAcentral.